CCUACGGGAGGCAGCAGUAGGGGAUAUUGCUCAAUGGGGGAAACCCUGAUGCAGCAACGCCGCGUGGGGGAUGAAGUUUUUCGGAUUGUAAACUCCUUUUGUUAGAGAAGAUAAUGACGGUAUCUAACGAAUAAGCACCGGCUAACUCCGUGCCAGCAGCCGCGGUAAUACGGAGGGUGCAAGCGUUACACGGAAUCACUGGGCGUAAAGAGCGCGUAGGCGGGAUAGCAAGUCAGAUGUGAAAGCCUAGGGCUCAACCAUAGAACUGCACUUGAAACUGUUAGUCUAGAGUAUGGGAGAGGUAGGUGGAAUUCUUGGUGUAGGGGUAAAAUGCGUAGAGAUCAAGAGGAAGACUCGUGGCGAAGGCGACCUGCUGGAACAUAACUGACGCUGAGGCGCGAAAGCGUGGGGAGCAAACAGGAUUAGAUACCCCUGUAGUC
This 440-nucleotide ribosomal RNA is filed under the name uncultured bacterium. RNAcentral's name for it is "partial 16S ribosomal RNA". It matches the Rfam family "Bacterial small subunit ribosomal RNA", at positions 338 to 795 of the family's 1533-position model. The record is from RNAcentral.